AGUAGAAGUAAUUAAAUCAUUUUUAAUUGUUUGAGUAGGUGAGACUGAAUUUAACGAUAGAUAAGCGAUAGAUAAUUGAUAGUAACGUGAGUGAAGGUAAUUUAUAUCAGAGGAGUAGCAGCGAUGGGUUCGCUGUACCUUUUGCAUCAUGGCUCUACUACUUUUUAUUCUAAUGAGGUAGCCCGAAAGUUUGGUGAGCUACUUUCUUGCUAUGGGUUGGUGUUGUAGUAUCAUCCAGAGACGAGAAGAUAGUGGCGAAAUACUUUUCGCAUUGACUGAUAGCUGGUUGUUUUGGAAAUAUAUAGAAGUAUAGCCCUUUUUGGGGCGGGUUCUACAGGUAUAGUUUAUUUUGUGUUACAAGAUUCCGCCCUCUUUUAGGAGAUGGUUCCCCCAGGCUAAGCUGGGGGGGCGCUUAAAAAGGAUGAUUGGUGAAGUUUUAGGUUUACAAGUAGGUUUCAAGGAGCCAUCUUCAUGGAGUGGGUUAUACCACAUAUGGGCCUUUCUUUAAAAUUAUAGUAGGUUUAUCUUUUAGUUGUACGAAACCUUCCCACGAAACUACGUUAGUGGGAGUGAUAAUGUAGAGAUGAGUAGUCGAGAUGGUUGUAGUUAUUUUUUGCUGCGGGGUAAAAAAUAAAAAUGUAAGAGUGCGUAUUGGUAAACAAAGCUUAAGGAACUCGGCAAAAGAGAGGACCGCCUGUUUAGCAAAAACAUGGCUUUCUGACUAACAUGGGGGGUCGUGCCUUCCCGGUGGGUAUACGAGCCUAAACGGACGCGGUAAAUCGUGCUAAGGUAGCUAAAUUAUGGCCCAUUAAUUGUGGGUCCUGUGAAUGGUUUGACGAGUCCUCUACUGUCUCAAGGUUGUUUUGGUGAACUUGAAUUGAAUGUGCAAAUGCUUUCAUACGAAAGAAAGACGAAGAAGACCCCGUGAAGUUAGAAAUUCCUAUUACAGCGUAAACCCACAUUGACUGUGUCAGCGUUAAAGAGCAGAUAGGGCUUUGGAUCUUUUUUUGAAGGUCCCGGCUUUAUGGCUUUUGAGCAGCGGAAUGUAGUUUUGACGAGUUUUGGCUGGGGCAGCAAAGAGGCAAAACUAGACCUUUUUAAUCACUAAACGGAUACGUUACGACCCACAAAACAUGAAAAUCGUGAUUAACAGAAGGAGUUACUCCGGGGAUAACAGCGUAAUCUUCCUUGAUAGUUCUUAUAGAUGGGCGGGUUUGCGACCUCGAUGUUGGCUCUGGGUAUCCUGAGGCAUGCAGGCGGUCUCAAGGGUUGGUUCGUUCGCCCAUUAAAACCCGACGUGAGCUGAGUUCAGAUCGGCGAAAGCUAGGUCGGUUUCUAUCUUCUUUCAUUAAAAUUUAGGCGGUAGGGUACGAAAGGACAUUCGGCUUUAGAGUAACAAACUGUCAGUGCUGAAUUUAAAAUAA
Non-coding RNA from Mizuhopecten yessoensis (Yesso scallop), 1424 nucleotides. NCBI's taxonomy places the organism in Eukaryota, Metazoa, Mollusca, Bivalvia, Pectinida, Pectinidae. The record is from the annotation of a RefSeq genome assembly.